Molecule: transfer RNA, 66 nt
Filed under: Sigmella ectobioides
Lineage: Eukaryota; Metazoa; Arthropoda; Insecta; Blattodea; Blattellidae
Description: tRNA-Trp
Source: RNAcentral
AAGACCUUAAGUUAAAUAAAACUAAUAUCCUUCAAAGCUAUAAAUAAAGAAAACCUUUAGGUCUUA